Non-coding RNA from Biomphalaria pfeifferi, 353 nucleotides. The record is from the annotation of a GenBank genome assembly. Lineage: Eukaryota; Metazoa; Mollusca; Gastropoda; Planorbidae.
CAUAAAAUUGCGUAUGCCAAGUUAUUAACAAAUUUCGUUAGUUAACAAUUUGUAAAGUUGUGCUGAUACCAAUACAAGAUUUGAUGUUAAUACAAAUAAUAAUUUCAUUUCUAUGUAGUGCUGAAAUUGUGUACAAUUUUAUUUCAAAUAAAAUUUUUGAAACAUGACACGUCCUCUUUGUAACGGUAUUUAGUUUGUACUGUAACUUUUAAAAAUUAUAAAUAUAUAUUACAUGGGCAUAGCCUGGGGUCCCCCGACCCUCCCCCAUUCCGAAAUGAAAUUCCCCCUCGCAGUGGUGUUGAGGAAUUUAGUGACUGAUUUUGUGCUUUGAUUUUGUGUAUUUUUAGGUGAUA